GAUGAACGCUGGCGGCGUGCCUAAUACAUGCAAGUCGAGCGAACGGACGAGAAGCUUGCUUCUCUGAUGUUAGCGGCGGACGGGUGAGUAACACGUGGAUAACCUACCUAUAAGACUGGGAUAACUCCGGGAAACCGGAGCUAAUACCGGAUAAUAUUUUGAACCGCAUGGUUCAAAAGUAAAAGACGGUCUUGCUGUCACUUAUAGAUGGAUCCGCGCUGCAUUAGCUAGUUGGUAAGGUAACGGCUUACCAAGGCAACGAUGCAUAGCCGACCUGAGAGGGUGAUCGGCCACACUGGAACUGAGACACGGUCCAGACUCCUACGGGAGGCAGCAGUAGGGAAUCUUCCGCAAUGGGCGAAAGCCUGACGGAGCAACGCCGCGUGAGUGAUGAAGGUCUUCGGAUCGUAAAACUCUGUUAUUAGGGAAGAACAUAUGUGUAAGUAACUGUGCACAUCUUGACGGUACCUAAUCAGAAAGCCACGGCUAACUACGUG
This 497-nucleotide ribosomal RNA is filed under the name uncultured bacterium. RNAcentral's name for it is "partial 16S ribosomal RNA". It matches the Rfam family "Bacterial small subunit ribosomal RNA", at positions 28 to 507 of the family's 1533-position model. The record is from RNAcentral.